This 451-nucleotide ribosomal RNA is filed under the name uncultured bacterium. RNAcentral describes it as "bacterial SSU rRNA". It matches the Rfam family "Bacterial small subunit ribosomal RNA", at positions 329 to 794 of the family's 1533-position model. The record is from RNAcentral.
CGCCAGACUCCUACGGGAGGCAGCAGUGGGGGAUAUUGCACAAUGGGGGAAACCCUGAUGCAGCGACGCCGCGUGGGCGAAGAAGUAUUUCGGUAUGUAAAGCCCUAUCAGCAGGGAAGAAGAAAUGACGGUACCUGAGUAAGAAGCACCGGCUAAAUACGUGCCAGCAGCCGCGGUAAUACGUAUGGUGCAAGCGUUAUCCGGAUUUACUGGGUGUAAAGGGAGCGCAGGCGGCACGGCAAGCCUGAUGUGAAAGCCCGCGGCCCAACCGCGGGACUGCAUUGGGAACUACCGGGCUGGAGUGCCGGAGAGGUAGGCGGAAUUCCUAGUGUAGCGGUGAAAUGCGUAGAUAUCAGGAGGAACACCGGUGGCGAAGGCGGCCUGCUGGACUGCAACUGACGUUGAGGCCCGAAAGCGUGGGGAGCAAACAGGAUUAGAUACCAGAGUAAGU